UACGAAGGAUGCGAGCGUUAUCCGGAUUUAUUGGGUUUAAAGGGUGCGUAGGCGGCCUUAUAAGUCAGUGGUGAAAUCCUAUCGCUUAACGAUAGACGUGCCAUUGAUACUGUAGGGCUUGAGUACAGAUGCCGUUGGCGGAAUGUGUCAUGUAGCGGUGAAAUGCUUAGAUAUGACAUAGAACACCAAUUGCGAAGGCAGCUUACUACACAAUUAUUGACGCUGAGGCACGAAAGCGUGGGGAUCAAACAGG
This 253-nucleotide ribosomal RNA is filed under the name uncultured bacterium. RNAcentral describes it as "partial 16S ribosomal RNA". It matches the Rfam family "Bacterial small subunit ribosomal RNA", at positions 524 to 776 of the family's 1533-position model. The record is from RNAcentral.